CGUUAAAGCUCGUAGUUGGAUUUCUGAAUGUGGUUGGUUGUAUUGGUGGCGCUGCCGUCAGUCUCCAUACUACGUUCAAAACAUGUGACGCUUGGGUGUGGUUGAUUAAUUUCGAUCCGCCCUUAAAUCGCUCGUUUACUUUGAGAAAAUUAGAGUGUUCAAAGCAGGCAUUGUGCUUGAAUAUGUUAGCAUGGAAUAAUAGCAUAGGACUUCAUGUUCUAUUUGUUGGUUGUUCGAGAACUAAAGUAAUGAUUGAUAGGGACGGUUGGGGGCAUCCGUAUUCUCAAGCGAGAGGUGAAAUUCUUGGACCUUGGGAAGACGAACAGCUGCGAAAGCGUUUGCCUAGGACGUUCUCUUUAAUCAAGAACGAAAGUUGGGGGAUCGAAGACGAUCAGAUACCGUCGUAGUCUCAACUAUAAACUAUGCCAGCUAGGGAUCGGUGGUACUUCGUCACGAGUCCAUCGGCACCUUACGAGAAAUCAAAGCAUUUGGGUUCCGGGGGGAGUAUGGUCGCAAGGCUGAAACUUAAAGGAAUUGACGGAAGGGCACCACCAGGAGUGGAGCCUGUGGCUUAAUUUGACUCAACACGGGAAAACUUACCAGGUCCGGACAUAGUAAGGAUUGACAGAUUGAUAGCUCUUUC
This 643-nucleotide ribosomal RNA is filed under the name uncultured eukaryote. RNAcentral describes it as "bacterial SSU rRNA". It matches the Rfam family "Eukaryotic small subunit ribosomal RNA", at positions 617 to 1261 of the family's 1831-position model. The record is from RNAcentral.